RNAcentral lists this long non-coding RNA (2539 nucleotides) under Marmota monax (woodchuck). Lineage: Eukaryota; Metazoa; Chordata; Mammalia; Rodentia; Sciuridae. The record is from RNAcentral.
UCCUCUCUACCCUACCAUGAAUCCUUAUAUCAGAGAAAGCAUUGGGCAUUUGGUUUUUUGGGAUUGGCUAACUUCACUUAGCAUUAUCUUCUCUAACUCCUGGAUAACCCAUUUCUUAUUGUUAGACAUCUAGGUUGUUCCCAGUUUUUUACUCCUAUAACCAGUAAGUACAUCAAUAACAUCUUUAUCUAUACUUCUUUGUAUAAGUAUCUCAUAAUUUCCUAAGAAUAAAUUUCUAAAGUAGGUCCAAUUUUUACAGACAGGGCUAGACUGUCCUUUGAAAACUUACUCAAUUUACAUUCCUUACAAAAGUGUAAGAAUGUUUUUCAUUGUACUUCUUGUUUGGCACUAGGUACUAUCAUUAUUUUCUUUUUUUCUUUAUAAUUUUUAGUUGUAGAUAGACACAAUGCUUUUAUUUAUUUAUUUAUUUUUGAUGUGAUGCUGAGAACCAAACCCAGUGCCUUACACAUGCUAGGCAAACGCACUGCCACUGAGCCACAACCCCAGCCCUACUACCACUCUUUUCUAAUCAUAUUCAUUUUAUUUUGAAUCUUCUGAAUUUUGCUUUUAAAGUUUUAGAAGUAUCUUCAUAUUGAUUGUUAUAUAUGCAGAGAUUCAAAGUAUAACCAAACAUCUCUAACUGGCUUCAUGAAUUGAAAGGGUCUAAUGUGGUGUAUCAAACAGGAGGGCUGGGUUGUUCAAGUAAGGAACAACUCAGAAUUGAUCACUUGCUCAUGGACCACAUCAGAGCAGUUUAUCUGGGAGCUUGUGUAUCACAGACAGCAGGGGACACAGGCUGACAGAGGUCCAGUCUUGACACUUGCUUCUAGAAUCACCUUACUGGGUGGAAGAGGAUCUAGUGAAUCAUGCUCUGAUUCUUAAAGCUUCCACCUCAACAGACACAACUCACUUCAGUUUGUAUUUAAUUUUCCAAAGAAAAACAUGAGAACACACCUACCUUCACAGGGGAUAGAGAAGCGCAGACCACAACAUACCUGGCAGGGGAAUUGGAUGAGACUGUCACAUCUUGGAAGAAAGGAGCUACUAUCCGGCAUAUGAUAUUAUUUAACUGUCAAAAAUAAGAAAACUGAGACUUAGUUUAAGUUAUAGCUCAAGAUCCAUAAAUAGAAGAUUACAACAAUCUGGGAUUAUAAUGUGAACCUGUCUUACUUUUUGUGGGGAGGGUGUUAGCAUAAUUGCAGCCAUCUUUCUUUUCCCUACCCCCAUUUUAUGAAUAAUGUUCUUAUUCCCCCAAAAUAGAAGCUAGCCCCAGAUAAAACCUACUGGCAUGGAGAUGUGCCAGUCUCUCCCUGUUCUCUCCCUGAGAGAUAGGAGACAACUCACCGGCCCCUGAGAUGGAGAUGUACUGGUUUCCCUGUUCUCUCCUUGAGAAGAUAAAGGGACAUGUCGGUUUUCCUGUUCCCCCUCUGAGAGAUAGGAAAACUGCCUGUCUCUGUUCCCAAGAAACAAAUUGCCUUCCACAAGAUUUGGGAAUGCUUACUAUGUCAGUCAAGACUAAACAGCCCCUAGUGCCUGGCCAUGAUUCUAGCCUAUAAAAGGUGACAUUCAAGGGGGAGUUGCUGCUGCUCUGCCUCGCUUGCUGCUGGUGUCUCUCUUUUCCUGCAGAGAGCUUUGUCGGGCUCCUGACAAUAAACCCACUUCUUAUCCCAGGUGUGUGUUUGAUCAGUCCUGUGCCACUUUUCUUUCAGUGGGUACUGGGGAUUGAACUCAGGGGCACUUGAACAUCGAGCCACAUUCUCAGCCCUAUUUUGUAUUUUAUGGAGAAGCAGGAUCCCAAUGAGUUGCUUAGCACCUCCUUGCUCUUGCUGACGCUGGCUUUGAACUUGUGAUCCUCCUGCCUCAGCCUUCCAAGCCACGGGGAUUACAGGUAUGCGUCGCCCAGCAACCUAUCUUACUUUUAAAAAUGCUCUUUGUAUUACAUUAUCUUGCUCUUAAGAGCAUCAGCAACAUUUCCAAAAAGAAACUCAGGGUUUGGGACAUACAUUUCCUGUAGUCAUGUGUCGACGUGGGUUCCUCAGGGUUUCUGGAGCUGUUUUCAUGCCCUUGUUGUUAUCAGUGAGCACAUCAAACAUAUCACCUUUUCCUUGAUAGGCCUUCCUGCUUCCCAUCUGACAAACUCUGCAUGUAGUCAAUUCUGAUCUUGUGAUACUUGUUUCACAGAAGUGCCCACUGUUGAUAUUCUCCUCAUGAGACAUACAUUUGGAUCCAUCAUUUCUAAGUAUAAGAGCAUCAUUGCUUCGAGGAUGCUGUCUUGCAAAUAUCCUAUGUUCUGACCAUGCUUCAUGCAAAAGAAGUCCUAACAACUAUCUUGAGCAACGUUGGAGUUCUCGAUAAUGUGCAAACUUCUUGUCUCUAUGCAUUUUGUGUUUUGACAAUAAUAUUCUGGGAGAAAAUAAAAAUCUGUUGAGAAUCCGCUGGGUGUCAAGCACUGUUCUAGGCAUUUUAAUAUAUUUUUAUCUUAUUUAGUUUUCAGUAUAGCACUCUAAUGAGGCAUUCUUAUUAAGGAGGAUAACUGUAU